UUAUGGCUCAGGAUGAACGCUAGCGAUAGGCCUAACACAUGCAAGGUCGAGGGGCAGCACAUGAGUAGCAAUACGAUGGUGGCGACCGGCGCACGGGUGAGUAACACGUAUGCAACCUACCUUUAACAGGGAAUAACCCGUUGAAAAACGGACUAAUACUCCAUAACACAGGGGUCCCGCAUGGGAAUAUUUGUUAAAGAUUUAUCGGUUGAAGAUGGGCAUGCGUUCCAUUAGCUUGUUGGUGAGGUAACGGCUCACCAAGGCCACGAUGGAUAGGGGAACUGAGAGGUUUAUCCCCCACACUGGAACUGAGACACGGUCCAGACUCCUACGGGAGGCAGCAGUGAGGAAUAUUGGUCAAUGGAGGCAACUCUGAACCAGCCAAGUCGCGUGAAAAGGAUGAAGGUCUUAUGGAUUGUAAACUUCUUUUGCAAGGGAAUAAAGUGGGGGACGUGUCCUCCUUUGCAUGUACCUUGCGAAUAAGGAUCGGCUAACUCCGUGCCAGCAGCGGC
Molecule: ribosomal RNA, 512 nt
Filed under: uncultured bacterium
Lineage: Bacteria
Description: bacterial SSU rRNA
Rfam family: Bacterial small subunit ribosomal RNA
Source: RNAcentral